GAAAAAAAGUGAUACUUCUAAGCCGAAUUUCGAAAAUCGGUCUAUUCCAAACGAAAGAGCAUACUUUUUUGAUACUUCUAAGCCGAAUUUCGAAAAUCGAUCUAUUCCAAACGAAAGAGCAUACUUUUUUCUACUUCUAAGCCGAAUUUCGAAAAUCGAUCUAUUCCAAACGAAAGAGCAUACUUUUUUCUAUACGAAAGAGCAUACUUUUUUCUAUAUAAUGAAUAUUCUUUAGAGAUUUUUUCUAAAUAUUUAAAAUUUUAUGAGGAAUAUAGUCAAAAUUUUAGUAUCGUUCGUUAUCGAAUUUUCACGGUUUUUUCAAUACUAAAUUGAAAAAAAGUGAUACUUCUAAGCCGAAUUUCGAACAUCGGUCAAUUUCAAACGAAAGAGCAUACUUUUUUCUAUAUAGUGGCAUAUUCUUUAGAGAUUUUUUCUAAAUAGUUAAAAUUUUAUGAGGAAUAUAGACAAAAUAUUAGUAUCGU
Non-coding RNA from Cinara cedri, 482 nucleotides. NCBI's taxonomy places the organism in Eukaryota, Metazoa, Arthropoda, Insecta, Hemiptera, Aphididae. The record is from the annotation of a GenBank genome assembly.